Molecule: long non-coding RNA, 539 nt
Filed under: Homo sapiens (human)
Lineage: Eukaryota; Metazoa; Chordata; Mammalia; Primates; Hominidae
Description: HSALNT0370838
Source: RNAcentral
UCUAAUGUCACUAUGGCAACAAGGGACAUGGAUUUGGGGCUCUGCAAAGAGGGGAGCCGAAUGUGAGACUUGAAUAAAAACUCAGCCAGAAAAGCUCCUAUGAAACCCAAGAGAGCUCCUACACAGAGAAGGAGAAGCAAGCACUUAAGGUAGGCUGAAGCCAGCAGUUAAUGCCUGCAAGUUGGUCACCAUGGAAACAACACAAGAAAAUCUCCCUCCACUACCUCAUUCUUUAAUAUCUGAAAUUUUAAAUUUACAAAAUUAAGAUACAAAGAAUCAAUCAUGAAGUUGAAGUUUAUAUGAGUGCUUUCUGCUGUUGCAUGUUGCUCAAGGCACUAUUAGAAAGAACUGUCCCUCAUCCCUCAGACAACACGGUGGGAAGAACUCUGACAACCAUCCUAUGGCUGCACAAAGGAGAUCCUGGAGCCUGGGAAGAAACAAAGUACCUGAAUUCUUGGUGACAUCCAUUGUGCUGCUACAAUAAAGCCAGCCUGCAUCUUGAUGCACCUCUGGACUUUUCAAUUACCCUAGGCAAUAAA